GAACACCAGUGGCGAAGGCGGCCUACUGGGCACCAACUGACGCUGAGGCUCGAAAGCAUGGGUAGCAAACAGGAUUAGAUACCCUGGUAGUCCAUGCCGUAAACGAUGAUUACUAGGUGUUGGAGGAUUGACCCCUUCAGUGCCGCAGUUAACACAAUAAGUAAUCCACCUGGGGAGUACGACCGCAAGGUUGAAACUCAAAGGAAUUGACGGGGGCCCGCACAAGCAGUGGAGUAUGUGGUUUAAUUCGAAGCAACGCGAAGAACCUUACCAGGUCUUGACAUCGGAUGCAUAGUGCAGAGAUGCAUGAAGCCCUUCGGGGCAUCCAGACAGGUGGUGCAUGGUUGUCGUCAGCUCGUGUCGUGAGAUGUUGGGUUAAGUCCCGCAACGAGCGCAACCCUUACGGUCAGUUACUACGCAAGAGGACUCUGGCCGGACUGCCGUUGACAAAACGGAGGAAGGUGGGGAUGACGUCAAAUCAUCAUGCCCUUUAUGACCUGGGCUACACACGUACUACAAUGGCGUUUAACAAAGAGAAGCGAAGCCGCGAGGCGGAGCAAAACUCAAAAACAACGUCCCAGUUCAGACUGCAGGCUGCAACUCGCCUGCACGAAGUCGGAAUUGCUAGUAAUCGCGGAUCAGCAUGCCGCGGUGAAUACGUUCCCGGGCCUUGUACACACCGCCCGUCACACCAUGAGAGCCGGGAACACCCGAAGUCCGUAGCCUAACCGCAAGGGGGGCGCGGCCGAAGGUGGGUUCGAUAAUUGGGGUGAAGUCGUAACAAGGUAACCA
RNAcentral lists this ribosomal RNA (792 nucleotides) under uncultured bacterium. RNAcentral describes it as "bacterial SSU rRNA". It matches the Rfam family "Bacterial small subunit ribosomal RNA", at positions 704 to 1502 of the family's 1533-position model. The record is from RNAcentral.